GAAUAUUGGACAAUGGGCGAAAGCCUGCUCCAGCCAUGCCGCGUGUGUGAAGAAGGUCUUUGGAUUGUACAGCACUUUCAGUUGGGAGGAAGGGCAGUCAGCGCAUACCUUGCCGUGUUGACGUUAUCGACACAAUCACCACCGUCUAACUCUGUCCCACCAGCCGCGGUAAUACAGAGGGUGCAAGCGUUAAUCGGAAUUACUGGGCGUAAAGCGAGCGUAGGUGGUUCGUGAAGUUGGAAGUGAAAUCCCCGGGCUCAACCUGGGAACUGCAUCGAAAACUGUAGAGCUAGAGUAGGGCAGAGGGUGGUGGAAUUUCCUGUGUAGCGGUGAAAUGCGUAGAUAUAGGAAGGAACACCAGUGGCGAAGGCGACCACCUGGGCUGAUACUGACACUGAGGUGCGAAAGCGUGGGGAGCAAACA
Molecule: ribosomal RNA, 423 nt
Filed under: uncultured bacterium
Lineage: Bacteria
Description: partial 16S ribosomal RNA
Rfam family: Bacterial small subunit ribosomal RNA
Source: RNAcentral